AACAGCAGAAUAGUCAGUGUGACCUAGCCUUGAGAUAACGAUGUUUUGAGAAGAGAAAGUGAGAAAAUACUGCAUUAGAUAGUAAAUGGCCAAAAUAAAAUGCAGAUGUUUUUAAUUAAUGCACGUCACAAUGAGGUAUAAAUGCUUGUGUGAUUUUGCUUGUACUUUGCUCUCUGCCAGCUGUACUCUUCCCUUUCAAUUGCUCAAAUAAAGCUGUCUCUGAUUUUGUUGCUUCCAACCUGAGAGUGGAGUUCGUUUUCUUCCACAAUAUUUGGUGCCGUGACUCAAAUGGCUACGCCCAGCUGAGGCAGCGACCGCUACUACGGACUGUCCCCCUUCGAACCCCAGGCGCCAACUCAGAGUGACCGUGGCACUCAUUUUACUGGACAGAUUGUAAAAGAAUUAUGUGCAGCCUUGCAGAUUCAACACAACCUCCACUGCCCUCACCAUCCACAAUCUGCUGGGACAGUGGAACGUCACAAUGGGAUUCUGAAAAACAAACUGGCUAAGAUUUGUGCAGAGACAAACCUCAAAUGGCCAGAUGCCUUGCCAUUAGCAUUGAUGAGCAUGAGGGCCACUCCCAACCGAAAGACUGGACUCAGCCCACAUGAGAUUUUGACAGGGCACCCGAUGUGACUUCCAGUAGGGCCCCCACUGGCCCUUGCUCAGAUGGACAUUCAUUUGAUGGAUGAUAUGAUGCUUAAUUACUGCCAGACACUAAUGAAAUGUGUUAAGUCUUUUUACUCACAGGUGAAAGCAGCAUUACCCAAGGACCCUGAACAGCCUUGCCACUCCUUGGAAUCAGGAGAUUGGGUCUACGUAAAGGUCCACCAGUGAAAGAAUGCUCUGGCUCCAUGCUGGAAAGGCCCUUACCAAGUCCUGCUGACUACCAACACGCUGUGAAGUGCCAAGGACUGACUGCCUGGGCCCAUGCUUCUCACUACAAAAAGACCCCUCCACCUCGAGAUGAUUCUACAUCAACUGCUGAUCAGCUUGUUUCUACUUCUGUUCCUCCCCCUGAACUGCAGGAGAAAAGGACAAGGUGAAGUGCUAGUAACCUCUCCCUUGUCCGCUGAUGAAAUCAUUGUGUUGUCAGCAUUUGCUACAGAAACCACAGCACUACAGGGUGACGUGCUGGUAACCUUUCCCCUGUAUGAUGCUGGACCACGACUGUUCCAGGAAAGAAGAAAAAAGAAAUACUCACUCCGCCGAACCUGCCAAGGCCCAGGAGUUCCUGACUACAAAGGACAUUAAGAACUGGCCCUGGUGGAAGAAACGGAGGAUUGUAGACUGGCAGGGAGGAAACUGUGACCAGUCUUGGGAGUGUGGUGUUCACUGGAUUUUGGGGUUUAUUCCAUCAGCUGCACAGUGCGCUACUGGACAAGUACCCUGGAAAUGUACUAUUCUCCCUAAUUGGAUUUCAGAUGAAGAAUAUUAAACCAACGCCUUAUUGCCACAACCACUACCCUGCCAUUACCUCCAUUUUCACGGCCAUUCCCACCCCGUAACAUACCCAGACAUAGACAAUACUAUCUAUUUGGAUGAAACCCAAUGGCCAAGGCCUUCACAUGCUGGUGAUUUAUUUAAGUAUUGUUUGGAAAAUUCAUUUUUUAAGGUUCAGGACAUGUCAUAUGAGCAAACAACUGACUGGAGAACAAAUGGAUCAGCAGAAAUAGAAGUAUAUGACAUUACCGCAAAUGACUCUAGGGAAUCUGAAUUGGAGAUACAUGGGUUUUAUGAAGGGGUUGAUAUGAUGGCCAUUCCAGGGGUUUGUAGUGUAUUGGGAGAAAGGGGCCCUUGUUGUUAUUUAGUUACCCAAUUAGCAAAUAACCAGGCUCAUACUCAGAAAGUAUGUUCUGCCACUGGAAAGUUUACCUGUACUGAAAUGAUCCCAGUAACUAGCAAUUUAACCUGUACCAUCUUACAAUAUACCUUCUUAUGCUAUUGAUGUUAAUGCCUCUCAAAAGUAUUUGAAAAUAGUUAAACAACAGAUGUGCUAUAAUGCUAUCCCCGAAAGAGAUGUACUAGGACAUCGAAUAACCAUAAUUAAUGCCACAUUAGGGACUGUGACAUUCACCCUGCCCCUAUCCAGCUUUCAAAUUACUUCCACGUAUCCCAAUUGUUCCAAGGGAGCUGCUAUCCACCUAGAACAGCAAAGAGCACGGGUCUCCUCUUGGAAGAAAAGAGGCUUAGCUGGUCACUUAUGGGAUGGUGCAAAUAGUGCAGCAGCAAUUUGGAAUAUUCUUAAGGGCCAACAACAUGAGGAGAAAUUAGGACAACUAGAGAAAGCCACUGGUCUUAUUACUGGAGCACAGCUGACCCAGGUGCAAGCUGGAGUUGGUGAAUUACAUGUUAUUUCCACCCUUAGUUCGAUGACCCUGGAGCUGUUGACGGGAAUGGUAUUGAAUAUCACUGAGGCAGGAAAGGAAUUGCAGUGGGAUCUAGCAUGUUCAGAGAUUCGGGAUUUCCUGAAUGACCAGCUGAUGGCCAUUCGGAGUGAUCUUGAGCAUCAGGCUUGGCCCACUGCCCUUACUAGUGCUUCAGGAGUACCAUCUGAUUUGUGGCCAUGGAGACGUACUUGGAGAUUUUCAGGAUGGAGUUGCAAGUACUCACAGUGCUCCUUCCAAGCAUAUGGGCCAGUAGGAGGGGUGUGGGCUCCUCCAUACCGAAUCCUUCCAGGUCCAUGGGGAGGAUGCAUGUGGGACUGGAUUAUUCACCGUGACGUCUGAGAGAUUAGACCACAUGGUAUGCCUAGCCAAUUUGUUGUUAGUGCUCCUGGAAUAACACCCGAUAUUUGGAUUGGAAUAGGGAAUCAGUGGAUAUUGUGGCCCUUUAAACCCCCGCAGUUUCAGUGCCUAAGAAAAUUGAAGCAAGGGGAAAUUGUCACAGUAUUUGACAAAGAUUGUUGGGAAGGUAUGGGACAAGGAACUACCCUGACAGGACAGUUACUUUUCCAAGCUAAUGAUAGUUGUGUAUAUGUUAAGGCCACCACUUUGCAAGACUUACAUUUUAAUCCCACUAUGGCCACAGGAAAUCACAUUAUUUCUUGGCCUGCAGACAAAACCCUACAAUUGGACCUUGGGUAUCAGAUUUCUUUUAAUUGAACCACUUUGAUACCCGACCGGUUUCAAAAUUUACACUCACUCCUACCAGAGGUUCGGAAAAUUUCUGACUUACAGGAUCAAAUCCAUGUGCUUCAGAAUAUAUAUCAAAUUGAAAAAUGUGCUUUUCAUACAGCUUAUAGAGUGUCUACUUUGUGUACUAAUUAUGAUGUAAUGUGCUAUGUAACUAAGGCAAAGAAACAACCCCAGCAUAUUAUUACAAUGGAGACAUUAAUGUGUGUAUUGCUUUUGUUUAGUCUAGGAUUAUGUUAUUGUUGUAAGGGAUGGACUAAAAAAAAUGCUUCUCAUGUUCAUACUAACCAUGCAUGAUCGUUUUAUCCAGUUAAGAUUUAUAGGGCUGAUUCUGAUCCUCCUGAGCUAGAAACAGAAAUACAAGGCUUGAUGCAAUUGGAGGUUUAAGAAUGUUAGUUGUUCUAAAGGAAGCACAAAGGGGGGAGUAUGGAAGCAGGGAAAGAAAGAGAGGGUUUAAGUGCAGCCAUUUAAGUGUCAGAGACAGAGCAACUGUUGAGCUAAGUCUUAGCCUAAUAUCGCGAGACCUGUAGAAGCAGGACUCACGUCAAAAGAGAGUGGGAAACAGCAGAAUAGUCAGUGUGACCUAGCCUUGAGAUAACGAUGUUUUGAGAAGAGAAAGUGAGAAAAUACUGCAUUAGAUAGUAAAUAGCCUAAAUAAAAUGCAGAUGUUUUUAAUUAAUGCACGUCACAAUGAGGUAUAAAUGCUUGUGUGAUUUUGCUUGUACUUUGGAGAACUUGAGGCAGAGAUGCUCUCUGCCAGCUGUAUUCUUCCCUUUCAAUUGCUUGAAUAAACCUGUCUCUGAUUUAGUGGCUUCCAA
Molecule: non-coding RNA, 3952 nt
Organism: Caretta caretta (loggerhead turtle)
Lineage: Eukaryota; Metazoa; Chordata; Testudines; Cheloniidae
Source: RefSeq, a predicted model, not a curated record